GAGGAAUUUUGGACAAUGGGGGCAACCCUGAUCCAGCCAUGCCGCGUGUGUGAAGAAGGCCUUCGGGUUGUAAAGCACUUUCAGUGCGGAGGAAGUCCUGUUGGCUAAUACCCAUCAGGAUUGACGUUACCCACAGAAGAAGCACCGGCAAACUCCGUGCCAGCAGCCGCGGUAAUACGGAGGGUGCGAGCGUUAAUCGGAAUUACUGGGCGUAAAGCGCACGUAGGCGGCCUGUUAAGCUGGAUGUGAAAGCCCCGGGCUCAACCUGGGAAUGGCUUCCAGAACUGGCAGGCUAGAGUACGGUAGAGCUGAGUGGAAUUUCCUGUGUAGCGGUGAAAUGCGUAGAUAUAGGAAGGAACACCAGUGGCGAAGGCGGCUCACUGGACUGGUACUGACGCUGAGGUGCGAAAGCGUGGGGAGCAAACA
Molecule: ribosomal RNA, 426 nt
Filed under: uncultured Gammaproteobacteria bacterium
Lineage: Bacteria; Pseudomonadati; Pseudomonadota; Gammaproteobacteria
Description: bacterial SSU rRNA
Rfam family: Bacterial small subunit ribosomal RNA
Source: RNAcentral